This 252-nucleotide ribosomal RNA is filed under the name uncultured bacterium. RNAcentral describes it as "partial 16S ribosomal RNA". It matches the Rfam family "Bacterial small subunit ribosomal RNA", at positions 524 to 776 of the family's 1533-position model. The record is from RNAcentral.
UACGUAGGGUGCAAGCGUUGUCCGGAAUUAUUGGGCGUAAAGAGCUCGUAGGCGGUUUGUCGCGUCUGCCGUGAAAACUCAGGGCUUAACCCUGAGCCUGCAGUCGAUACGGGCAGACUAGAGUGCGGUAGGGGAGAUUGGAAUUCCUGGUGUAGCGGUGGAAUGCGCAGAUAUCAGGAGGAACACCGAUGGCGAAGGCAGAUCUCUGGGCCGUAACUGACGCUGAGGAGCGAAAGCUGGGGAGCGAACAGG